Molecule: non-coding RNA, 118 nt
Organism: Vibrio caribbeanicus ATCC BAA-2122
Lineage: Bacteria; Pseudomonadati; Pseudomonadota; Gammaproteobacteria; Vibrionales; Vibrionaceae
Source: Rfam
CAUUACUCAUCGGGGAGCCAUAAAUAUCGAUAACGAUAUCGGCUGAGAUCAAGAGACUCUUGGGACCCGUAAACCUGAUCCAGAUAAUGCUGGCGUAGGAAUUGAGUUUGGUCUCUCU